Molecule: ribosomal RNA, 627 nt
Filed under: Triticum aestivum (bread wheat)
Lineage: Eukaryota; Viridiplantae; Streptophyta; Magnoliopsida; Poales; Poaceae
Description: partial small subunit ribosomal RNA
Source: RNAcentral
AUGGCGCCUGCAGCCCUGUCCGCCCCGGUCCUUCGCGUCUCUCCCCGCUCGGCCGGGACUACGGCCACCGCCGCGCCCGCCGGCGGUGUCCGCUUCGGCCAGACGGCCUGCCUGCACCCCGGCCACUCUGCCCAAGCUGUGCUGGGAUCGAACGCGCUGCUGCUGAGGCCCGUGGGGCAGAGGAGGCGGUCGGCGCUGAGAAGCAGCGUGGAUGACUCCAAAGCCACGGAUGACAAGGUGGAGUUCGGGUACUCGAGGAAAGACGUGCUGCUGAUCGGCGUCGGCGUCACCCUCCUGGGCUACGGCCUCAAGUCCGGCCUCGAGUUCCUCGGCGUCGACCCCCUGCAAGCCGGCAACGUGGUCCAGCUGUUCAUCGUGCUCGGGAUGACGGUGGGGUGGAUCUCCUCCUACAUGAUCCGGGUGGCCAACAAGGACAUGACCUACGCCACGCAGCUCAGGAACUACGAGAAGCAAGUCAUGGAGAAACGGCUGGAGAGCCUGUCGGAGGCGGAGCUGCAGGUGCUGCUGGAGCAGGUGGAGGAGGAGAAGGAACGCCUGCCGCCGACGAGGAGGGAUCAGGGUAUCACCAUCAACAGGAAGAUGGAGGAUCAGACCACUGCUAACUAA